This 254-nucleotide ribosomal RNA is filed under the name uncultured bacterium. RNAcentral describes it as "partial 16S ribosomal RNA". It matches the Rfam family "Bacterial small subunit ribosomal RNA", at positions 524 to 776 of the family's 1533-position model. The record is from RNAcentral.
UACGUAGGGUGCGAGCGUUGUCCGGAAUUAUUGGGCGUAAAGAGCUCGUAGGCGGUCUGUCGCGUCUGCUGUGAAAUCCCGAGGCUCAACCUCGGGCUUGCAGUGGGUACGGGCAGGCUAGAGUGUGGUAGGGGGAGACUGGAAUUCCUGGUGUAGCGGUGGAAUGCGCAGAUAUCAGGAGGAACACCAAUGGCGAAGGCAGAUCUCUGGGCCGUAACUGACGCUGAGGAGCGAAAGCAUGGGGAGCGAACAGG